Molecule: ribosomal RNA, 253 nt
Filed under: uncultured bacterium
Lineage: Bacteria
Description: partial 16S ribosomal RNA
Rfam family: Bacterial small subunit ribosomal RNA
Source: RNAcentral
UACGUAGGGGGCAAGCGUUGUCCGGAUUUAUUGGGCGUAAAGAGCGUGUAGGCGGCCAGGUAGGUCAGCUGUGAAAACUCGAGGCUCAACCUCGAGACGCCGGUUGAAACCAUCUGGCUAGAGUCCGGAAGAGGAGAGUGGAAUUCCAGGUGUAGCGGUGAAAUGCGUAGAUAUCUGGAGGAACACCGGUGGCGAAGGCGACAUCCUGGACCGGUAUUGACGCUGAGGCGCGAAAGCCAGGGGAGCAAACGGG